UUCUACUUUAUUAACAUAUUCGAUGAAAUAUUUUACGAUCCGAUAUUAGAUUAAAGAUUUAUUUACAACUUGUUGUAACUCGUAAUAUUGCGCAAAUGUUAAUAUUUAACGGUUGCGAAUUAUAACGUGUUUUUGAAUUUAUCAUUUCAAGUUUUAUAUCCCUCUCUAUUGAAAAUAUUUUCGGUAGUUACGUUCUGUUUAGUUGCGGUAUCUGCAUCGUUUCGUAUAUAACGCGGCUACCUUGACCUUCUGUGGGUACUUAUCGUUUUUUUCGUAGCUCGUAAAAAUUAGAAACUCGAAUGUGUAUCGUUGGGAAAAAAACAUCGGCGAGAUAAGCAGGAGAUCUAGCUUUUCGUCCAUGUUGGAUUUUUAGAAGCGUUUCAUGAUCGUUCGAAAAAUGAUCCGUUACAAAUUGGCUGAAAGCGUGCGCGUCUCGCGCUUCGCGCAUCGGGAUUUCACGUUGGAAAAUCGUCCCAUCAGUGGAGGAUUCGAUGCGUGUCUGUCACGCGGCCGGUUCUGUGCAUGCUCGCGUAACUUGGUUGGCUUGGUAAAUCAACGCACGAGAAGAAGAGUACAACAACGAUGCAAGGUGUGCUUGUUAUAUCGCUUUUUUAUUUAUCUUGAAAAGAAGGAAUUCUAGAACAAACUGAUUCUAAAUCUUGCAAUGAAAUACAUAGUUUUAAAUUCAUAAAAUCAGAUUAGAUAGCAGUAAAGCAAGGUUCAAGUGGCCGAUAUUGUAAUCAAUUUUAUUGUUAGAUUAGAUAUUAAGAAUAAAUAUUGAAAAAAUU
This is a long non-coding RNA of Apis cerana (Asiatic honeybee), 788 nucleotides long. RefSeq lists it as uncharacterized. The record is from RefSeq and is a predicted model, not a curated record. Lineage: Eukaryota; Metazoa; Arthropoda; Insecta; Hymenoptera; Apidae.